RNAcentral lists this ribosomal RNA (935 nucleotides) under Plasmodium falciparum (malaria parasite P. falciparum). RNAcentral's name for it is "SSU rRNA". It matches the Rfam family "Bacterial small subunit ribosomal RNA", at positions 379 to 1381 of the family's 1533-position model. The record is from RNAcentral. Lineage: Eukaryota; Apicomplexa; Aconoidasida; Haemosporida; Plasmodiidae.
AAGCUUGAUAAAGUAAUAUUUCUUUUAGGAAGACAGUAUUAUUAAAAUAUUGUAAACUUUUUAUUUUAUUUUUAAAUAUUGAUAAAAAUAAAAAAUAGUAUUUGCUAUUUUCUGUGCCAGCAGCAGCGGUAAUACAGAAAUGCAAGCGUUAUUCAUUUUAUUAGGCGUAAAGCGUUUUAAGGUUUUAUAUUAAUUUUAUGUUUAAAUAUUUAAAUUAAAUUUAAAAUAAAUUAAUAAAUAAUAAUAUAAUAGAGUAUUAUAAAAGUAUUAAGAAUUUUUUGAGAAGUAGUGAAAUACAAUGAUACAAAAAAGAAUAUCAAAGGCGGAAGCAUAAUACUAUAUAAUUACUGACACUUAAAAACGAAAGCUAAGGUAGCAAAUAGGAUUAGAUACCCUAGUAGUCUUAGCUGUAAACUAUGAAUAUUUUAUAUUUAUAUUUUAUAAAUAUAAUAACUAACGUGAUAAAUAUUCCGCCUGAGUAGUAUAUUCGCAAGAAUGAAAUUCAAAGGAAUUGACGGGAGCUUAUACAAGUGGUGGAACAUGUGGCUUAAUUCGAUGCAACACGAUAAACCUUACCAAAAUUUAACAAUAUUUUUAAUAUUAAGAAAUUAAUAUUUUAAUAAAAUAUAUAGGUAGUGCAUGGCUGUCGUCAGUUCGUGCUGUGAAGUGUUAAUUUUAGUAUUAUAACGAACGUAACCUUUUAUAAAAAAAAUUUUUAUAAUAAAUAAUAAUAAAGAUUACGUCAAGUCAUUAUGCUCCUUAUAUUUUGGGCUGCUCACGUGUUACAUAAAAUAUUACAAUAUUUUAUUAUAUGUUAAAUAUAAUAAUUAAAAUAUAUUUAUAGUUCAGAUUAUAAAUUGAAACUCAUUUAUAUAAAGAUGGAAUCACUAGUAAUCGCUAAUCAGAAUUAUAGCGGUGAAUAAGUUCUUAAGCUU